RNAcentral lists this unclassified non-coding RNA (183 nucleotides) under Gossypium hirsutum (cotton). The record is from RNAcentral. Lineage: Eukaryota; Viridiplantae; Streptophyta; Magnoliopsida; Malvales; Malvaceae.
CCCAUUUUAUUUCAUAUAAUGUUUUUUUUAGUUACGUUUUCUCCACGUGGUGUAACUCAUUCGUUAUUUGCGUUUUGUGAAAUAAAUAAUUUGGAACGAUAUUUGGUCGAAUUUGCAUUGAAAUUCGAGGCGCAAGUGCGAUAAGGGGCAGCCUUUAUAUGAAUAGAUUGCGCAAGAGUUGAC